This 428-nucleotide ribosomal RNA is filed under the name uncultured bacterium. RNAcentral's name for it is "bacterial SSU rRNA". It matches the Rfam family "Bacterial small subunit ribosomal RNA", at positions 559 to 986 of the family's 1533-position model. The record is from RNAcentral.
CGUAAAGCGCACGCAGGCGGUUUGUUAAGUCAGAUGUGAAAUCCCCGGGCUCAACCUGGGAACUGCAUUUGAAACUGGCAAGCUAGAGUCUUGUAGAGGGGGGUAGAAUUCCAGGUGUAGCGGUGAAAUGCGUAGAGAUCUGGAGGAAUACCGGAGGCGGAGGCGGCUUACUGGACAAUAACUGACGUUGAGGCUCGAAAGCGUGGGGAUCAAACAGGAUUAGAUACCCUGGUAGUCCACGCUGUAAACGAUGAAUACUAGGUGUCGGGGUGCAAAGCAUCUCGGUGCCGUCGCUAACGCAAUAAGUAUUCCACCUGGGGAGUACGUUCGCAAGAAUGAAACCCAAAGGAAUUGACGGGGACCCGCACAAGCGGUGGAGCAUGUGGUUUAAUUCGAAGCAACGCGAAGAACCUUACCAAGUCUUGAGA